UACGUAGGGUGCAAGCGUUGUCCGGAAUUAUUGGGCGUAAAGCGCUCGUAGGCGGUCUGUUGCGUCGGCUGUGAAAACCCGGGGCUCAACCCCGGGCCUGCAGCCGAUACGGGCAGACUAGAGUUCGGCAGGGGAGACUGGAAUUCCUGGUGUAGCGGUGAAAUGCGCAGAUAUCAGGAGGAACACCGGUGGCGAAGGCGGGUCUCUGGGCCGAUACUGACGCUGAGGAGCGAAAGCGUGGGGAGCGAACAGG
RNAcentral lists this ribosomal RNA (253 nucleotides) under uncultured bacterium. RNAcentral describes it as "partial 16S ribosomal RNA". It matches the Rfam family "Bacterial small subunit ribosomal RNA", at positions 524 to 776 of the family's 1533-position model. The record is from RNAcentral.